This 577-nucleotide ribosomal RNA is filed under the name Campylobacter jejuni. Its description in RNAcentral is "partial 23S ribosomal RNA". It matches the Rfam family "Bacterial large subunit ribosomal RNA", at positions 1 to 591 of the family's 2925-position model. The record is from RNAcentral. Lineage: Bacteria; Pseudomonadati; Campylobacterota; Epsilonproteobacteria; Campylobacterales; Campylobacteraceae.
AAAGGUAAGCUACUAAGAGCGAAUGGUGGAUGCCUUGACUGGUAAAGGCGAUGAAGGACGUACUAGACUGCGAUAAGCUACGGGGAGCUGUCAAGAAGCUUUGAUCCGUAGAUUUCCGAAUGGGGCAACCCAAUGUAUAGAGAUAUACAUUACCUAUAUAGGAGCGAACGAGGGGAAUUGAAACAUCUUAGUACCCUCAGGAAAAGAAAUCAAUAGAGAUUGCGUCAGUAGCGGCGAGCGAAAGCGCAAGAGGGCAAACCCAGUGCUUGCACUGGGGGUUGUAGGACUGCAAUGUGCAAGAGCUGAGUUUAGCAGAACAUUCUGGAAAGUAUAGCCAUAGAGGGUGAUAGUCCCGUAUGCGAAAAACAAAGCUUAGCUAGCAGUAUCCUGAGUAGGGCGGGACACGAGAAAUCCUGUCUGAAUCCGGGUCGACCACGAUCCAACCCUAAAUACUAAUACCAGAUCGAUAGUGCACAAGUACCGUGAGGGAAAGGUGAAAAGAACUGAGGUGAUCAGAGUGAAAUAGAACCUGAAACCAUUUGCUUACAAUCAUUCAGAGCACUAUGUAGCAAUACAG